GCACUUUCAGUAGGGAGGAAGGUAGUCGUAGUUAACACCUGCAUUAUUUGACGUUACCUACAGAAGAAGCACCGGCUAACUCCGUGCCAGCAGCCGCGGUAAUACGGAGGGUGCGAGCGUUAAUCGGAAUUACUGGGCGUAAAGCGCAUGCAGGCGGCCUGUUAAGUCAGAUGUGAAAGCCCCGGGGCUUAACCUCGGAAUUGCAUUUGAAACUGGCAGGCUAGAGUCUUGUAGAGGGGGUAGAAUUUCAGGUGUAGCGGUGAAAUGCGUAGAGAUCUGGAAGGAAUUACCAGUGGCGAAGGCGGCCCCCUGGACAAAGACUGACGCUCAGAUGCGAAAGCGUGGGGAGCAAACAGGAUUAGAUACCCUGGUAG
RNAcentral lists this ribosomal RNA (374 nucleotides) under uncultured bacterium. Its description in RNAcentral is "bacterial SSU rRNA". It matches the Rfam family "Bacterial small subunit ribosomal RNA", at positions 430 to 793 of the family's 1533-position model. The record is from RNAcentral.